GGGAACUUGUGAGUGAGUGAGUGAGUUGGGUUUAACGCCGCUUUUAACAGUAUUCCAGUUAUAUCGUGUCCCAGCAGUAAACACUUCUGGUUGACUGGUGUUGAAAGAGUUAAUUGACUCAUUUAUAUCUUGGAGCUACUUUAAUCUUCCAUGGGGCUAUGUAAAACAUGUUAAACAUUUACAUACAAGGGUUAAAACAAUAAAUGACAUGAAAAAAUGUGAACAUGAAUUUAGGUUAGGAUGGAUGACUUUUUGUAAAUUAAAACCUGAGAACUGUACUGUUUCAAAGAAAAUUAUACCUCCAUAUAAAAAUUACUCAUUCAAAACUAUAUUAUAGUUUUUUUAAUUUGAAUGCUGACAUUUUUCAAAGUAGGGCCGAACAAAAUUAAUUGUGCGUUUCCUAGAUUAGGAUUUUAAGUGUGUAGGUCUACAUCAAGCUUUAUAAAAGUGAGUUUAAAUUAAAAAAAUAAUGAUAAAAAAAUUCCCUAUUCCUUAAUCCUGGGAACAUUUCAUAAAAAAUCCAAAUAUCUCCCCCCUCCCCUUUUCAGUUUUUUUAGCUUGGCGUAACAGAAUAUAAGUGUUGUCCUAGUUUGUUUAUGAAUAAAAUAUAGAUCUAUAUGUUUAUUGACAGUGCAAUACGCAUUGCUAAGGGUAACAUUUUGCUUUAUUGUAAAUUAAUGAAUGUACUUAUUGGUCUCAUUAGAAUGGUGAGAGGUGUAGGCGAUGGGAGGCAGCUGAAAAAAGGUGACCAAGACUACAUCGAACAGGAACGAAAGCGAAAAGCUGAUUAUAGGGGUCGGAUGAAUCCUGAACAAGUUGACAGGUGGAUGAUUGGCCAUGGGUGACUUUUUUCACUAAAGUGAAACAAAGAUGGCUGGCAAAGGACAUCCACCACACUGUCAUGUUCGAAGACGUCAGAAUAGCAAUUGAUUGGACAUUAUUUGAUGAGAUGACUAACGCCCUGUCCACCUUUAGAAUGGACUACGAGAUCAAGAACCAAGAGGACACCAAUAACCAGUUUCUGAAUAAACAUAAAAAGGAGUAUGGCAAAACUGAUAUUGGUCAUUGAGAUAAACAAUAUUCAAGAUACAGGAUAGCUAAUGUUUAAUUGCACAGUGGAAGACUUUCAAAGUUAAAUUAAAUUAAAUUAAUUUUUCUAAAAUGAUUUUUCAUGUGGAUACAAAAUAGCAGCAAUUGUACAGCUUUGCCUAGGAAUAAUUUAUUGUGUCGCAGUUUUUUCCUGAUUAAGUCUUGCGAUAAUACUUUGAAUUCAUCAACAAUUUGAAGUGGUUUGUAAAAUAUUCAGUACAAUGAAUAAUUGUCAAACAGUUACUGAAUAUAUAAAUUAUAAAGGGUUAUUCCUAAAUGAAUGUUUGAGAGGGCUGGGAUGUACAUUUAAAAAUAUUUAAUGAGUGGUGGGGAUAUCAAGAUUCCACAAUCUGUUAUUUUUAAUAUAC
Molecule: long non-coding RNA, 1457 nt
Filed under: Haliotis rufescens (red abalone)
Lineage: Eukaryota; Metazoa; Mollusca; Gastropoda; Lepetellida; Haliotidae
Description: uncharacterized LOC124120814
Source: RNAcentral